CUCGAAUUACAGAGCCGGCAAUUAGAAACUUAUUUUUAAACGUAAACACAACUCCCGAUUAGCGCGGAACUCCUCUCUCUCUAGUCGUAUAAGGUUAUGUUGGGACUCAUUCGGUCAGAUGGCACCGCUUACAAUAAGUCUCACAAAGCGGCGCUACUAGUCGCAAAUCUCCGCAAAAUUAUACAAGGGCCGAGCACCAUUGAUUCCGGUACAAAUUCAGUUAAAAAAAAAAGAUAUGUUCCUCAUGUAACUCUUGAUGUUCGUCAUAAUGCUCGUCUCACAAUCACUUCCAUUAAUAAAUCAAACCGUCUGAACUAAUAUAUCGAUUGGGGGUUGAAUACUCUUCAUCACAUUCAUUUAAUAUAUUAAACAGACAAGUCCUUUAUUAAACUUUAGUAACACCCAAUUAUCCACAUUGUUCGAUUCAUCAAACUUUUACUCAGUCUUUCCGUUCCGUCAAGGAUUUCAUGGUCCUUUCAGCAGAUCAUGACGAGCAAGUAUUAUAUCAUCCCCGUGCCGACACUUUGCACAGCUCCCGAGAGUACCACCCGAUUAUCAUUAACAAUAAACGACAACAUUUAUCAGUUUUAACGACAAUUAUAUUAAAAAGGACAAUUGUUGAAAAGUGCACCUCACUUUUACAUAAUUUUUGCGACUAGACGAGUACGAGGAAAUGACCGGAAUGCAUUUCGAACAUCAGAAAACAUUUUCGUACCCCCAAUCUGAGAUCGGAAAGAUGUUUAGGAAAAUUUUCUAGUGAGCGUGUGUGGUGUUUCCAAGUUUCCCCUUCACUCUCUCUCUAUGGAAACAACAAUCUAGAAAACAGAUUUUUUCGUUAAAUCCAACUUACUAUUAGAAGAGCUUUCAGCUUACUACACACGCUGCUCGUAACGCACUAUUAACGUAUAAUACCCCAAAUAUUCAGAUAAAUAAGCGUUUAUGUAAGCCA
This 949-nucleotide long non-coding RNA is filed under the name Hermetia illucens (black soldier fly). Its description in RNAcentral is "uncharacterized LOC119656136, transcript variant X1". Lineage: Eukaryota; Metazoa; Arthropoda; Insecta; Diptera; Stratiomyidae. The record is from RNAcentral.